GGGGGAAUGAGUUUUGUGUUUAUCUUUCUUUUCAGACUGCUAGGCAUGCAUUUUGUUGAAAUAAUGUAUGGUUUUAAUGAAAUAAUAACUACUGAAAAGGAGACGUGUGGCACGUAUUAAUGAGCAAUUACUGCGUGGUUUAAGCAGUUUAAUUGGAGUAUGACUUUUUGCAUUGGAAAGAAGUACCAUGACUACUGACUAGGGUCCAAAAAAGCUGGAGGGAG
Molecule: long non-coding RNA, 224 nt
Filed under: Vigna radiata
Lineage: Eukaryota; Viridiplantae; Streptophyta; Magnoliopsida; Fabales; Fabaceae
Description: long non-coding RNA (VRAD_LNC002802)
Source: RNAcentral